UACGAAGGUGGCAAGCGUUGUUCGGAUUUACUGGGCGUACAGGGAGCGUAGGCGGUUGGAUAAGCCCUCCGUGAAAUCUCCAGGCUUAACCUGGAAAGUGCAGAGGGGACUGUUCAGCUAGAGGAUGGGAGAGGAGCGCGGAAUUCCCGGUGUAGCGGUGAAAUGCGUAGAUAUCUGGAGGAAUACCGGAUGGCGAGGACGGCGAUCCUGGACCGAGAUUGACACUAAAGCGCGAAAGCCAGGGGAGCAAACGGG
This 255-nucleotide ribosomal RNA is filed under the name uncultured bacterium. Its description in RNAcentral is "partial 16S ribosomal RNA". It matches the Rfam family "Bacterial small subunit ribosomal RNA", at positions 524 to 776 of the family's 1533-position model. The record is from RNAcentral.